UAUGUAUGUUGCCUACGUAUCAUGUCCCUCAUGAAUCUGAUCAAGCGUAGUUCUGAAAAAAUGAUGGAUAAAAUAAACUAAAAAACAAAAAUCUUUUUGGAUUUUUCAUUUAAUUUUUUUUUUGGUUUUUCAAAUACAAAAUGGGAAGUAAUAUCACAAAAGAAUCGAUAUUACUGUACAAGACCAGAAAGUAAAAGACAACAUGAAUGACAGACUCAAAACAUAAAAGUAUCUAUAAGCAGCUCCUAAAUGCAGUGGUCCUGGGUAUUUGUCAUGCUUGAGAUCUGGUACAUUGAUCCACACCUGAAUGAGAAAAAUAAGACCAAAUAGAUCGGUGACUCAAGGCACUAUGCGACGCCACAACACCUCCUACUGGACACAUGCAAGACAUAAUCGGGCUACUUUUGCAAAAUUAACCUAUGUGGCAAAGGAUGACUAGAAGUGUAUAUUCAACAAGAUUGACCUCAAAGAUAUGGAAAUACCUCGCUAAAGCUUAUAUGGAUUCAACUCCUAAUAAUCAUGGCCCAAAAUAAUUUGCAGAAAUGAUCCAUUUUGCAAAACGGCCGAUAUGGCCAGAAAUGGCUAAAGAUGCAAACUCAAUAAGGACGGACGUUAAAGUAAUAUGACACCUAGUUGUGGACUUAAGAUCCUAAGACAUGAGUUAUUGAACCACUUUUGCGAAAAUGACCCCAUUUUACAAGAAUGACCGAUGUGACCAAAAGUGGCUAGAUAUGCAAGAUUUGGCUAAGACCCCGCAAAGCCAAGAAUCUAAAACUUACUAAGAAGACCGGACCCUAUGUGGGCUGCCGACGUAUUCCGCCCCGAAAGACGAGAAUCAGGUAUGCGUAGUUCGGGAAGAUUGGAUAUGGGAGAAAGCUUAAAAAUGACACUAAUUUGGAAAAAAUAUAUUUUUUGUCUUUUUCUUUUAAAAAAAAUGAUGAAAAAUAUAAAAUCUUUUUUGAUUUUCUUUUUCUCAUUUUUUUUGAAUUUUUGAAAAAUGAUGGAAAAUGUAAAAAAAAAUUGGAUUUUCUUUUUCAAUUUUUUUUUUGUUUUUUUUCUCGAAAAAGUUGUGAAAGAAAACUAUAACUAGGCCCUACUUGCUUCAUUUUUCACCCUUCUUUCCCAAACAUUGAUCCGCCAAAUGACUUUUUUACCCUCAAAGAUGCAACAUGUAUCACAUAGGGAUGAUUAAAUGUCUUUUUGGGCCACGGGCCCAUUUUGACAAAAUUUGGAUAAGCUUCCUACAAAGGGAUACGGUACCUGGGACCGAGCCCUACUAGGUCUAAAUGACAUGAUGCAAAUAAAAAUGAUCUAAAGGCUAACCUAAGUUUGUGGUUCACUAACAAGGCAAUUCGGGGGAGCGUAUGGUCGAUGGUGGCUGCUCAAGCUUUCCAUCCACUCCAUAAGUCCGACGGCCCCCCUCCUAAAUUAAGGGUUACUCAACAAAGAAUUCGUGCACGCGACGCGUACUCCGAGACUUGUUGCAAAAAGAAGACCCAUGGUUAUGCAAAUAAUGACAGUUUAUAAAGCAGUAACACAUUAAGAAAAGCGAUAAACAAAUAACCAACAAAACAAGGAAAUAAGACAAACAAAGCAAAUAAAGAAAACAAACACCUCAACCAAAUAUCCUAAAAGCCAACAAGAUCAAGUGUCAGCUCGAACCUGCAAGUCCCCAGCGGAGUCGCCAGAGAUGUCACACCAUUUUUUUUUACAAAACUCGCUAACCUCUCUAAAAUAAAUAAAAAUAUUUAGUAAAGCUCGAAAAAGGGGUUUUAAUUAAAAAGUGACAAAAUUUGUGUUCAAAAGGAAAUAACUCAGAGUCACCACCUGACAUUGGUUUCGGUGUGCCAGGUCACCAUUUUUUUUAAAAAUAAUUUUUCCUUUAAAACACUUUGGACUCCAAAACUAAGUCCGCACCAGAGAUUUGGGUAAGGGGUUCAUUUGACUCAGGGAGAAGGUGUUAAGCACUCCCCAAGUCCCGUGAAAGUCACGGUUGCGUACUCGGUCUAGUUGGCUUUUAAAAUAUUCAAGUUGAGGUAAAAUCACGGGAAAGCAAAAUAAACACACACGAGGCUCGAGGUCGUCCCCACCUAAUAAAAAGAAAAUAAAAAUGAAAAUGAAAAUGAAAAUAAAAAUAAAAAUAAAAAUACUACGAAUUCUAUUAUCGAUCUCCAAGUACAAAUACUUCGGGGCAUACCCCGGAAUAAAAUAUAUACAAAUCCUUCGGGGCAUUCCCCGGAUAAAUUUAACUAAAGGAACGACCUCUCGCCUCAAAACUAACAAAAAUCCUAAAGUUUGCCUACCCAGGUGCUACCGGACCUAAACAUGCUCUUAGCGAUUAAAUUCAUAAAUGGAUAAAGUAAAAGAAGCAAGAUUAUUUAAGCUCAAUUUCUUUCACAUUUUAAAAGCCAACCCCCUAUAACCCAUUUGCUCUAACAAUUCAUAUUACUAGAAUUUAUCCUACUUCAAUUCUUGAUUACUUUUCUGCCUAAAUAUUCUCUUAUCCAACAGAUACAAUUAGGAAUAAAGCCAACAGACAAACCAUAACUAAAUAUUUAUCAAAUGAAUUUCAAGUAAUAAGUAAACUAGGCACAAAUAAACAUAGUAGAGAAAUUAAUUAAAGUAAGUACUGAAAUAAUGUCAAAUUAGGAGGAGAAAGAGAAAUGGACCUCACUUAAGGUAGGAGCUUCUCCAAUUUUAAUUAAAAUUCCCAGCAAGAUGUACAACAAAUAAUCUGUCUCAAUUGAAUUGUGAUCGAACCACAACCGAAACUCGGAUCCACAACCUCGAACGACGAACUCACUAGGAACUCAACUGCAAGCUUUUGCCGAAACUCGGAUCUCUCAACCAAACCACAUUUCACUGCUUAGUGUCGAAUUAAUUUGAGGUCUAAGAGUUCUGAUUACUGAGGCAAAGCGUCGAGCAUGCGAACUGCAAACUUAUGAAAACCCUCAAAGCUGAGCACGGUGGAGGGUGGUGGCGGAGUUGGCGGCUGUCGUCGGUCAACAAGGAAAUGAAAAGAGAAUUGAAGUUUGAAAAGGAAGAUGACGUGUUUCAAUGUUUUUAAAAUAUCUAGUGGUCUGCUAGAAAUAAAAAGAAGAAAAAGUGGAGUCAGUUGUCAGCGAAUUCCUUAAUUUUGUCACUGUUUCAUCCCCCUCGUUUUCUCUAAGUUUUUUUUUCCAUUUCUUUGUGUCCGUCCCUUUUCUGUGUGCAUGUGUCCGGGUGUUCUUGUGUGAAGAUGGCUGCCUUCUUUUGUAAGGGAGAAAAAGAGGAUGUGAAGGUGCUCCCUCUCAAGAAUGAGGUUGAGAGCAUUUUAUACUAGGGUUUUCAAAAUGUAGUCUCUUUAUUAUUCAAGACAAAAAGAAAAUAUAUAAAAUAUAUAGCAAAUAUAGAAAGCAAAAUAAAGUAUGCAUUUUGAAUCUGUUCUUGGAAACAG
Molecule: long non-coding RNA, 3436 nt
Filed under: Nicotiana tabacum (common tobacco)
Lineage: Eukaryota; Viridiplantae; Streptophyta; Magnoliopsida; Solanales; Solanaceae
Description: long non-coding RNA (NTAB_LNC008283)
Source: RNAcentral